This 68-nucleotide transfer RNA is filed under the name Mus terricolor (Earth-colored mouse). Its description in RNAcentral is "tRNA-His". It matches the Rfam family "tRNA". Rfam says of the family: Transfer RNA (tRNA) molecules are approximately 80 nucleotides in length. Their secondary structure includes four short double-helical elements and three loops (D, anti-codon, and T loops). The record is from RNAcentral. Lineage: Eukaryota; Metazoa; Chordata; Mammalia; Rodentia; Muridae.
GUGGAUAUAGUUUACAAAAAACAUCAGACUGUGAAUCUGAAAACAGGAAAUCAACCUUCUUAUUCACC